This 253-nucleotide ribosomal RNA is filed under the name uncultured bacterium. RNAcentral describes it as "partial 16S ribosomal RNA". It matches the Rfam family "Bacterial small subunit ribosomal RNA", at positions 524 to 776 of the family's 1533-position model. The record is from RNAcentral.
UACAGAGGUCUCAACCGUUGUUCGGAUUCAUUGGGCGUAAAGGGUGCGUAGGCGGUCGCGCAAGUCGGAUGUGAAAUCUCAGGGCUCAACCCUGAAACUGCAUUCGAUACUGCGCGGCUAGAGUGCUGGAGAGGAGACUGGAAUUUACGGUGUAGCAGUGAAAUGCGUAGAUAUCGUAAGGAAGACCAGUGGCGAAGGCGAGUCUCUGGACAGCAACUGACGCUGAGGCACGAAGGCCAGGGGAGCAAACAGG